AAGUCGUAACAAGGUUUCCGUAGGUGAACCUGCGGAAGGAUCAUUAAUGGAUUUUGACCGAAAGGUUGAAUUACCUUGUGAUGUGUUGAAUGUUGUCUGUUGCCAUGUGAAAAGUGGCGACAGUACUUUUUUUACAAACCAUUUCUUUGAUUUCUGAUUCUUUUGUGCAUUUUUGCACACAAACAACCGAAAACUGCCAGCAACGGAUCACUCGGUUCUC
RNAcentral lists this unclassified non-coding RNA (220 nucleotides) under fungal sp. RNAcentral's name for it is "partial internal transcribed spacer region". The stretch from base 1 to 46 matches the Rfam family "Eukaryotic small subunit ribosomal RNA", at positions 1786 to 1831 of the family's 1831-position model. The record is from RNAcentral. Lineage: Eukaryota; Fungi.